GCGACAGACGCUCGGAGCCGCGAGACACGGGUGGACAACAGAAAGGGACAUGCGAAGCGAGGACGGAUGAAGCCGAGCGAGAAGGAAGCACCAGGGCAGCUUAGACACCUGCGUGGGCGCUCCGCGGGGGGCCGGCGCAGGUGUACGUAGGGGAGAGAGAGCCUGACAUGGGACUUCUCAGCCGCAAGCAAGACACAGCGAAGCAGAAAUGAUAAAAAGAACAGAAUCAAGAAAACACGUUUGAAGCAAAUAGUCGCUGUGCAGUCAGAAGUCCUUCAAGUAUGAACGCUAUAGAAAAAGCUUUUAAAGCCCGAACUUUGGUUUCAUUGAAAAGGAAAAGGAGUGACAGGACACAAAUCAGAUCCCCAACUCAACCCGGAGAAGGAAAACAAGGCAGCCGAAGAAAGAACAGGGAAGGGAAGUUUAAGGGUCACAGUGGAAGGGAACGGAGUAGACAGCAUAACGGCCUUCAUUAAUAAAAAAAUUUUUUUUAA
Felis catus (domestic cat) is the source of this 494-nucleotide long non-coding RNA. RefSeq lists it as uncharacterized. NCBI's taxonomy places the organism in Eukaryota, Metazoa, Chordata, Mammalia, Carnivora, Felidae. The transcript is spliced from 2 exons. The record is from RefSeq and is a predicted model, not a curated record.